This 579-nucleotide ribosomal RNA is filed under the name uncultured Mycoplasma sp. RNAcentral describes it as "bacterial SSU rRNA". It matches the Rfam family "Bacterial small subunit ribosomal RNA", at positions 188 to 784 of the family's 1533-position model. Lineage: Bacteria; Bacillati; Mycoplasmatota; Mollicutes; Mycoplasmatales; Mycoplasmataceae. The record is from RNAcentral.
CCAUGAUUUAGCUUUUAAAGCCUUCGGGCGCUGAGGGAUUGGGAUAUGCUCUAUUAGCUAGUUGGCGGGAUAAAAGCCCACCAAGGCAAUGAUAGAUAGCUGGUCUUAGAGGAUGAACAGCCACAAUGGGAUUGAGAUACGGCCCAUAUUCCUACGGGAAGCAGCAGUAGGGAAUCUUCCACAAUGGACGAAAGUCUGAUGGAGCAAUACCAUGUGAACGAUGAAGGCCUUUUUGGUUGUAAAGUUCUUUUACGAGGGAUAAUUAUGAUAGUACUUCGUGAAUAAGUGACAGCAAACUAUGUGCCAGCAGCUGCGGUAAUACAUAGGUCGCAAGCAUUAUUCGGAUUUAUUGGGCGUAAAGCAAGCGCAGGCGGAUGUGUAAGUUCUGUGUUAAAUGCAGCUACUCAAUAGUUGUAUGCACCGAAUACUACAUGUCUAGAUUGUGGUAGGGAGUUUCGGAAUUAAGCAUGGAGCGGUGGAAUGUGUAGAUAUGCUUAAGAACACCAGAGGCGAAGGCGGAAACUUAGGCCAUAAAUGACGCUUAGGCUUGAAAGUGUGGGGAGCAAAUGGGAUUAGAUA